This 3071-nucleotide long non-coding RNA is filed under the name Homo sapiens (human). RNAcentral's name for it is "HSALNT0384609". The record is from RNAcentral. Lineage: Eukaryota; Metazoa; Chordata; Mammalia; Primates; Hominidae.
CACCUGUCUGAGCCUCCCAAAGUGCUCAUCUCGUUGCUCUGGGGGAGCCAGGAUGUGUGAGCCACCACACCUGGCCAUAUUCUCAUUCUUAAAAGGAGAUGUGUAUGUAUAUACCACAUUUAAUGAGUUCUUAUUAUAAGCCAAGUACUCUACAUAUAUCAUCUCAUUUAAGUCUCAAAACAACCCUAUAAGAUAUUAUCAUUCCAAUUUUUCAGUUGGGAAAACUAAGGCCCAGGGAGGUGAACUAACUUAUUCAAGGCCACAUAACUAGUAAGUGGUGGAGUCUGAAUUUGAACCCAGAACUUGUUCUUGUAACAAUUAUUUCUACAGACUUUACAUAGAACAAGAAAGAAAUGCAUUAAAAUGUGUCUCCUUUAAGGAUUUUUUCCCUGUACUUUUCACAUUUUCUUCAAGGAGUACCUAUUACAUUUAUAACCAGGAAAAAUAACACUUAUUGAUUUUAUAAAUAAAAAUAAAACAGAGUUCUCUCUUCCAGGAAUCCAAACGAAAUAUCCAUUCCCAUUCAUCAUGUUUCUCAAAGGCAUGUCUAUUGGCAUUCAGAGUGGAUAAUUCUUACCUGUGAGGGGCUGCCGUAUGUGCUGUGAGAUAUUCAGCCCCUGCCCACCAGAUGUCCUGUAUCAGACACUGUCAGUUCCCUAUAGCGAUCCUUCAACACUCACCUCCACACUCAAGAGUGCCAGCUGCAAACACCUGGGGCUCUCUGCCUGGUAACUUUGCUCUGGCUAAAAAACACACGUGGUUCUCACCCAAAACAACCAGAAGUACUAGAGUGUCAAUGCCCCUGGAAGCAGCCCUCAAGCAAUGUUGAGCUAGAAUUUGGUGGAUAAGCCCCCCAGCUUCCUUGCUCUUCAAUUGCAAUGACUCUGGGGCACGUUCUUCUUGCUCCCCCAGAGUUCUCCAGCAGGACUGAGCUCCAGUUGCCCAUGGUUGUAACUGGAUGACACACCCUUGAUGGGUUUCCCUAUCUCACUUAUGCUCACCUAACAGUGUUUCCUGGGAUCAACUCUCAAAUAAAUUAUUUGUCCUCAUAUCCUUGUCUCAGCAUCUGCUUGUAGGAAAGUCAAACCAAGGCAGCUCCACAGGAUACUGAUACUGAAAAAAAUUCCUACGUUUUUCCAAACAGUCUUAGGGAGGUGUGGAGGGUACAGUACUAUUCCUGCAUAAGGAACAUUUAAGUUCCACAGCUGCUUUCUAGCUAGAGAACUUAGGCUCCAAGAACCCAAUGCCAGGGUCAUUUCAUGGAACGCUACCUUCCCAAAGUCCUUCAAACCUCUAUGCCUGCUGCCAACAUCCCAUUCUCCAGCUAUUUCAAUCCAGUCUCUCCCUGCAGGUUCAAGAUUCACCAGUGACUUUUAGUUCAAACGUGCAAGGUCAACAAAAAAAGCAGAAUAAUCCAUGGCUUUGGGCUCAGCAAUCUUCCAGGAAGAAACAAUCAUCAUCGUAACAAUGCCAGAUGCUAGCAUGUAUUGACUGACUGUCAAGUACCUGAGAGAGGGUUUCUGACCCUUGAGCCUAAAAGACUACGGCAUACUACAGGGCAUAUGCCAAGAUGAGAGCAAAAUGGAAAACAGAAAGCAGAUGAGGUGGAUGCAGUUUCAAAUGUGGCUGUGCGCUUCUGGGUAAACAAAGUGAAAAGGGAAAUUCGGUCAACUACAUUGUUCUCAUUAAGCAUGAAGUGAGAAUGCUCAAGUUCCUUAGGACCAGCAAAGCUUUUUUCUAGCACUUAUUUCUCAAAGCACAAUAGGCAUUAUACAAGGAACUACUGGGAGAUAUGGAGGAUGCUGUCUUCAUUAACUGACACUUUGCAGCGAAUUCAAUAAUGGGAUGUAUAAGGCUGCUGUUCAGAGCAUCUGUUAUGAACACUGAGGGACUCAUGCUUCCAUGGUUGGUCAACUUGAUUCUGUGCAGUUGGAAGAAAGGCAAUGUGGUCUGAGUAUGCCAGCAUCCAGAGGCUCUCUGCAAGUGUCAGUGUUCCAGGAACUGGUCCCCAAACAUUUUAGCCACAACUGACUCUCAGCCCAUUUCUGCCCUUUCCCUCUCAGUGCAAGCUCAUUUGUACCAACUUCUGAAGGUUCCACUCUCCCGUCCCGAGGAGGGAAAUACAAGAGAAUUGAAACCUCCUGCCCUUCAUCCCUGAGAAGGGUUGCACAGAGGUGCCUGCAGAUGUCAAGAACUGUCCUCCACAGCAUCCCUGUUCUUUACCUCCUGUCUCCAUGAUUAAUUCAAGCUGUUGGGAUCUCACAUUACCAUCAGGCUGUCACUGCACUGAGGGUCCCAAAUGGCUCCAGCCCAAGCAACAAAUUAAUCCAGGCUGCUGAGCUUCUGGAAGAUGAAGAACUGACCCAUCGGAAAAUAUACAGAUUGGAACAAGCAUAGCUUUAUUCUUCCCCUUCUCGGGAUGGACCCCAACACCUAACCAAGGCUUUCCCUCUUACACUAAGCUUUGAGGACAGCCAUGGCCUCAUAAGAAUCACAAUCCAUUCUACAAGUCCAGCAACAGUUCAUCAAGGAGAGACUGGUGGCCACUGGCCAAGAUCUCUGUAUGCUCCUCAAGGGUUUCAAUAGUUGGAUUCCAUUUACCUCUCUGGAUUCCAGCUGCCUCACCUUAUAAAAUCACAGCUGGUACCAAUCCUCCAGGCUCAGCUCACAGCAAAAGGGCAAAAGAUAUAUCUAGGUCUAAAUAGACCAAAAGCAAAAAAAAGUCUCCAGUAUCCACUGUUAUGGACUGAAUGUUUGUGUGCCCUCAAAAUUCAUAUGUUGAAACCCUAACCCCCAAUGGUUCUGUAUUUGAAGAUGGGGUCUGUGAGAAGAUGACAAAGAUCAAAUGAAGUCAUAAGGAUGGGGCCCUAAUCUCACAGGGUGGGUCCCCUUAUCAGAAGAGGAAGAAACACCAGAGUGCUCUCUCUCUUUCCACCAUGUGAGGACACAGCAAGAAGGUGGCUGUCUGCAAGCCAGGAAGGGAGCCCUCUCCAAAACUGUCCCUGAUGGACUUGGUCUGGUAUGUCUACCCUCCAGAAUUGUGAGAAAAUAAAUUCCUGUUGUUUAAGCCA